This 1017-nucleotide ribosomal RNA is filed under the name uncultured bacterium. Its description in RNAcentral is "bacterial SSU rRNA". It matches the Rfam family "Bacterial small subunit ribosomal RNA", at positions 355 to 1375 of the family's 1533-position model. The record is from RNAcentral.
UGAGGAAUAUUGGUCAAUGGACGAGAGUCUGAACCAGCCAAGUAGCGUGAAGGAUGACUGCCCUAUGGGUUGUAAACUUCUUUUAUACGGGAAUAAAGUGAGGCACGUGUGCCUUUUUGUAUGUACCGUAUGAAUAAGGAUCGGCUAACUCCGUGCCAGCAGCCGCGGUAAUACGGAGGAUCCGAGCGUUAUCCGGAUUUAUUGGGUUUAAAGGGAGCGUAGGCGGACGCUUAAGUCAGUUGUGAAAGUUUGCGGCUCAACCGUAAAAUUGCAGUUGAUACUGGGUGUCUUGAGUACAGUAGAGGCAGGCGGAAUUCGUGGUGUAGCGGUGAAAUGCUUAGAUAUCACGAAGAACUCCGAUUGCGAAGGCAGCUUGCUGGACUGUAACUGACGCUGAUGCUCGAAAGUGUGGGUAUCAAACAGGAUUAGAUACCCUGGUAGUCCACACAGUAAACGAUGAAUACUCGCUGUUUGCGAUAUACAGUAAGCGGCCAAGCGAAAGCGUUAAGUAUUCCACCUGGGGAGUACGCCGGCAACGGUGAAACUCAAAGGAAUUGACGGGGGCCCGCACAAGCGGAGGAACAUGUGGUUUAAUUCGAUGAUACGCGAGGAACCUUACCCGGGCUUGAAUUGCAACUGAAUGAUGUGGAGACAUGUCAGCCGCAAGGCAGUUGUGAAGGUGCUGCAUGGUUGUCGUCAGCUCGUGCCGUGAGGUGUCGGCUUAAGUGCCAUAACGAGCGCAACCCUUAUCGAUAGUUACCAUCAGGUGAUGCUGGGGACUCUGUCGAGACUGCCGUCGUAAGAUGUGAGGAAGGUGGGGAUGACGUCAAAUCAGCACGGCCCUUACGUCCGGGGCUACACACGUGUUACAAUGGGGGGUACAGAAGGCAGCUACACGGCGACGUGAUGCUAAUCCCUAAAGCCUCUCUCAGUUCGGAUUGGAGUCUGCAACCCGACUCCAUGAAGCUGGAUUCGCUAGUAAUCGCGCAUCAGCCACGGCGCGGUGAAUACGUUCCC